This 689-nucleotide ribosomal RNA is filed under the name Erysiphe glycines. RNAcentral describes it as "eukaryotic LSU rRNA". It matches the Rfam family "Eukaryotic large subunit ribosomal RNA", at positions 83 to 786 of the family's 3401-position model. The record is from RNAcentral. Lineage: Eukaryota; Fungi; Ascomycota; Leotiomycetes; Helotiales; Erysiphaceae.
GUAACGGCGAGUGAAGCGGUAACAGCUCAAAUUUGAAAUCUGGCUCCGUCGGAGUCCGAGUUGUAAUUUGUAGAAGAUGCUUUGGGUUGCAGAUUCGGCCUAAGUUCCUUGGAACAGGACGUCAUAGAGGGUGAGAAUCCCGUAUGCGGCCGAGGUUUGCGCCCGUGUAAAGCUCUUUCGACGAGUCGAGUUGUUUGGGAAUGCAGCUCAAAAUGGGUGGUAAAUUUCAUCUAAAGCUAAAUAUGGGCCAGAGACCGAUAGCGCACAAGUAGAGUGAUCGAAAGAUGAAAAGCACUUUGGAAAGAGAGUUAAACAGUACGUGAAAUUGUUGAAAGGGAAGCGCUUGCAACCAGACUUGGGCACUGUUGAUCAUCUAGAGUUUUCUCUGGUGCACUCGACAGCGCACAGGCUAGCAUCGGUUCGGGUGGCUGGAUAAAGGCCGUAGGAACGUAGCUCCUCUUGGGGAGUGUUAUAGCUUACGGUGCCAUGCAGCCCAGCCGGACCGAGGACCGCGCCUUCGGGCUAGGAUGCUGGCGUAAUGGUUGUAAGCGACCCGUCUUGAAACACGGACCAAGGAGUCUAACAUCUAUGCGAGUGUUUGGGCGUGAAACCCAUACGCGGAAUGAAAGUGAACGCAGGUGAGAACCCCUUUGGGGUGCAUCAUCGACCGAUCCUGAUGUCUUCGGAUG